This 253-nucleotide ribosomal RNA is filed under the name uncultured bacterium. Its description in RNAcentral is "partial 16S ribosomal RNA". It matches the Rfam family "Bacterial small subunit ribosomal RNA", at positions 524 to 776 of the family's 1533-position model. The record is from RNAcentral.
UACGUAGGUGACAAGCGUUGUCCGGAUUUACUGGGCGUAAAGAGCGCGCAGGCGGUCGAUCAAGUCGAGUGUGAAAGCCCCCGGCUCAACUGGGGAGGGUCAUUCGAAACUGAUCGACUUGAAGGCAGGAGAGGGUAGUGGAAUUCCCGGUGUAGUGGUGAAAUGCGUAGAUAUUAGGAAGAACACCAGUGGCGAAGGCGCUCUACUGGGCCAUUACUGACGCUGAUGGACGAAAGCUAGGGGAGCGAAAGGG